This 1896-nucleotide long non-coding RNA is filed under the name Homo sapiens (human). RNAcentral's name for it is "HSALNT0174218". The record is from RNAcentral. Lineage: Eukaryota; Metazoa; Chordata; Mammalia; Primates; Hominidae.
UCAAUAGCAGAACAAAAUUAUAUGGUUUUUGUCUUAAGAAUAAGUUAAAAUAGGAAGAUUUUUACAACAGAUUUUAAAACUCAACUUCCUUCAAGGGUGACCAUCUUUGACGUUUUCUUUUCAGAUGCCUGAAAAUAUUUUUGCAAAAGAGAAGAGGAUCUCUUAUGCUACCUCAGGAAAACUGUCACUGCUUUUCUCUUGUCCUCUAAUUCAGUACCACAGAUCAGCAACUACUCUGAGGAAGAAAGCAAUUAAAGGAGGAAUUCAGUGCCAAGCCAUGAGUACACGCAGCCCUGUGAAAAGAUCAAGUAGUGAGAAACUGAGUCCUUCUACCAAUAGUCAGUGAGAAAUUGAGGUAUCCUGUCAACAGUCACAUGAGUGAGUCAUUUUGAAAUGGAUUUUCCAUCGCCAGUCAAGCCUAUGGAUGACUGAAGUCUGAGCUUAUAGCAUGACUGCAAACUCUUGAGACUCAAAGCCAUAAUCAUUCAGUUAAGCUGCUUCUGCAUUCUUGACCGUCAACCACUGUGUGGGAUAAUAAAGGAACUGCCGUACUGUUUUCCAUAGAAGCUACACCAUUUUAAAUUUCCACCAACAGUGAACAAGGAUUCAGUUAAUGUACUUCCUCAUCAACACCUGUUAAUUUUUGUUUUCUUGAUAAGAUCCAUCCUGCUGGGUAUAAGGUGAUAUCUCAUUAUGGUUUUGAUUUGCUUUUCUCUGAUGAUUUGUGACGUUAAGCAUCUUUUCAAAUGUCUGUUGGCUAUUUAUAUAUCCUCUUUAGAGAAAUGUCUUUUCAAGUUUUUUUGUCCAUUUGUUAUUCAGGUUUUGUUGUUGUUGCUGCUGUUGUGUUGUAAGAGUUUUUUUAAAUGUAUUCUUGUUAUUACUUCCUUAUCAGAUCUAUAAUUUGAAAAUAUUUUCUCUUAUUCCACAGGUGUCUUUCACUCUGUUAAUUGUAUCCAUUGAUGUGCAAAGUUUUCAGUUUUGCUCUGUAUAGUCCAAUUUAUAUGUUUUUACUUUUGUUGCCCGUAAAAUUAGUGUUGUCUUAAGACACUAAAUUUUGGGUAAAAUGAUUACACAGAAAUAGCAAACAGAGGAGGCUAUUAUUUUAUUUAUCUAUAUUAAUGAUAUAAUUUGGCUCUGUGUCCUCACCCGAAUCUCAUCUUGAAAUGUAAUCCCACAUGUCGAGGGAGGGGCCUGAUGGGAGGUAAUUGGAUCACGGAGGCGGUUUCACUCAUGCUGUUCUCGUGAAAGUGAGUGAGUUCUCAUGUUAUCUGAUGGUUUCAAAGUGUGUCACUUCCCCCUUUCUCUCUCCUGCCAUCAUGUAAGACGUGCUUUGCUUCCACUUCACUUUCCGCCAUGAUCAUUAAGUUUCCUGAGGCCUCCCCACCCAUGUAGAAUUGUGAGUCAAUUAAACCUCUUUUCUUCUUAAAAUUACCCAGUUCUGGUAGUUCUUUAUAGCAGUUUGAAAACAGACUAACACAACUAUUUUAUUUCAGAGACAGUUUCACCGCAUUGUUCAGGCUGUCCUUAAAUCCCUGGACUCAAGUGAUCCUCCUGCAUCACCCUCCUAAGUGGCUGGGACUGCAGAUAUGCGCCAGCACUCCCAGCUAUAGGAGGCAAAAAAAUGUUUUCUUUGAAUGCUUUGUAAUAAUCACUUUAAAAUUAUUAUUGAAAUAUACUUAAGAUGAUGCUGGACAUAAAUUGUGAGGAUAUAUCUUAUAAAAGCAGAUAACUGAAUUGGAGAAAUUAGUGAAAUAGUUGACAGUAUAAAGUGUAAAAUAGUGGAGAGAGAGUAAAAUCUAGAAAAGAUGGGAGUUGAAAAAUGUAUAAAAGAGCUUAAGAAUAUGUAGGACAAGAUGGGGAAAUGAUAACAUACUUGUAACUAGAGACCUUGAAGAG